UUUAUUUGAAUUUUUUUACAGCAAUGACGGCUUGUGGAGCCUCUCAAUAGUUCCCAGAAGUAGCAGCAAACCGAUGCCGCGCCGUAGAGAUGCAGCAGAACAAACCGUUUGCGACGCACUUUUAAAAGACCCAGGUAACUGGCUGAUGGUUCACUGGAAUGCUGACUGGCUGCUGACUGACUGGGUAGUGUCACCUGUCCCUGUCUCUCCUCUCUAGCCAUGUCCUCUAUUUCUUCACUGUCACUUUCCCUUCUCUGAGUGUCCUCAUUCUUUUUUUCCUCAACCUUUGAAACUGAUAGAGGCAGAAUACAUGGCAUUGCUAAUUUUAAAUAUUGAAAAUUUCACAUCACUUCAAAAUUAGAAAUAUUACUUCAACUAGUACGAGUUUGUACUUAUUAUAUAUGUAUUACCUGUAAUACUAUAGCUGUGAUCAGCAGCGAUUUGCUGUAUGUUUACAGGUCUGGGGGUGCAUCGUGGAGCAGGGGCCCUCCUCUUUUUGACCACAGGAUGAUGCACAAAGAUUGUGGAAAUAGCAUCUGGUCUCAGCCUACUCUUGAAUUUUUUGGUCAUGACAAAUUGGUUUGCCUCAAAAUGUGCCUGCAGAGUGACUUGACAGGGAAGCCAUACAUCUGCACACAUUUCUCUGACCGAGUGGAGCAUCCCCAUGCAGCACAGCAAACCAUGGUGGAGACUAUGCAAGGACAACAUGAAAGAAAGGACACAUACAAA
Cyprinus carpio carpio is the source of this 729-nucleotide long non-coding RNA. Lineage: Eukaryota; Metazoa; Chordata; Actinopteri; Cypriniformes; Cyprinidae. The record is from Ensembl.